AUGAUUUCCCCUGUGCCGGCGUCCCCACAAUCGGUUUGCCUGUCAAGGCGGAGGAAGGUAGUGGGCAGCGAUGUGCGAUUGGAUAGGUUGGCUCAUAGCCCAUUGAGGAGACAAGAGGAGAAGCAGGUUUUUGGCGAGGCCAAUGGAUGCUCGGUCGCUGCGUUCCAGGUGGGGUCGGUCCAGAUCCUAGUGGAGCAGGGGUUUCCAUGGACCGAGGGGGCCAAUGGCAGCAUGCCUAGCGAUGGAAGUGACCAUCUCCUCCUUUGUGAGGUGGACAAGGGACUGUCAGAGGUGGAUCUGGAUGGGACGGACUUCGAGGAUGCGCUGCCAUGUGGCUCCUGUUUGGAGGAUAAUGAUGAGAGGGCCCCACCAUGCAUGAACGUGGCCGACACUUUUUGUGUCAGCCUAACAGUGGGAGAGGAGUUCGACAGCUGGCGUGCAGCGGUUCGGCGGGAGCCAUGCACCCCAUGCACGAUGCAGGGAGAGGCAGACCGAUUAGGGAUGCUUUAUGGGCAGCUUAGGCAGGAAAAUGUGCCGGUGCUGCUGUCCAGACCUGAUCGAGGGGCUGGGGCGGCGGCCAGGAGACCAAGGAAGAAGAGGGAGCCAAUCUCAAACCCAAGAAGAAGUGUUCGGCUGGCGCAGAAAUUUGGGCGAGCCUCGCAUGCAACAAAGCAUCAAAACGUGCUGAUCUGGAAGCUCUGUCUAGCGAACGAGGGAGAAACAAUCACUGAUGAGGCUUUGCAGAUGUACGUGCAGCUAUUUGACCGACCGUUGACUGAAAGUCACGUGCAAGCGAUUCUUGCUCUGUUUGGGUGGGAGGCUUUGACAUUGCCGCUGCUCGAGCAAGAUGGUGUGGUAGAGGGGCAGCAAUGA
This 873-nucleotide ribosomal RNA is filed under the name Triticum aestivum (bread wheat). RNAcentral's name for it is "partial small subunit ribosomal RNA". Lineage: Eukaryota; Viridiplantae; Streptophyta; Magnoliopsida; Poales; Poaceae. The record is from RNAcentral.